CCCCCCGGCAGAAAAAAAAUAUAUAGCGAAGAAAGAAAAUAAAGCCUGGUACUUUAUUUAAUGUAAACGCGUGAAAGAUGGCGCUCUUCCGUUUCAAAGCCAGACAGGAAAUGCCACGCACGGUGAAAUAAGGGUGAUCACCUGAUUCAGAGAAUGAGAGGGGGGCGCUAAAAUCGAAAUUAGCUUGACAGGUACAAUGCAAGACACCUCUGAAGUCAUGAUGUAUUUUCAAAAAAUAAAACAACUUGCAUUCAUUUUGAAUCUUGGAUGAGAGUAUUUUUCUUAUAAAUUUCAAAACUGAUUCCUUUCAUUAAAACAGCGCCAUCAGAAAUUGCUAUCCGCCUUUAAUUCUUUGUCUGUGUUUUUCAAAUCCUAAGACAAUUGCCUCUCGAACUUACCCAAAUAAACCAUCGUGGUCGUUGUACAAGAAUACCAUCGUCAUAGAAUGCAUUCUCAAGUCCUAUCAUCAUCGUCGUCGCUGUCAUUGUCAUCAAUCACCUGUCUGUGUCCGCUUUGGGCAUGUUGGGCGUGGAAGCAACUGCACGGAGGAAGGUCUAACAUUUCAUCUUGUUUCAUUUCUUUCAUGCUGUUUUUCCUCAUUUUCCGAGCAACUUUCUUCCAGGGGAUCUGCAUUUGGUUUACCACUAGUUUUCCGAUUUAUGGAUAUUUUUGCUCACGGCGACUGGCAAGACCGAAUACCGAGGUAUUUCUUAAUAUUUCACUUCGUAACAAUGGAAACAAUGAAUGAACUAUACUAGGUGCAUUGCAUUUCCAUACUUCGCUAUUAAAUCUCGGUCAAAGGCGCUCGGUGCUGCGUGAAACACAUUUAUUUUUUAGAAGUUAGAAGCUUCUUCAUAAUUCGCUGAAUCUACGUGAUAUGAGAUACCCCGUUCAUCGGAUUCAAUCAGUUAUUCCUGCACACAUCAUAAUCCACAUCUUUCUUAUUUCGAUCUGAAAAGGGGUGCAUGAGUUUAAGCACUAUUUCAUUUUUUAAGUACUGUGUAGGAACAUUCUGAAGUGGGAGGGGGCAGGGCCCUGUCCAAGGAGGAUUAGUUUAUUGUCACUGGUGUGCUGAGCAUUGCCACAGCACCCCAGUGACAAGAGAUAAUCCUGCCAGGUCCAUGGGGUAGGGUUCCUACAAAACUUUAUUUAUUUUCUUACAUAUCUGUUAUUCGUCACCCAUGGACCUCACCUAGGUCCAUGGUCAUACCUUCCAGAUUUCCAGGGGGGUGCUGCCUAUCGAAAAUAACACACGCAGCACCCCCGCGUCUUAGGGCCAUGACCCAAUACUGAACAAUCUAUUAGUUUCACAUCCUAUAGGGUGUACGAAAUAACCACCUGGGUAGAGAAUGGCAAACUGGAGAUUAAAGAACGAUAAGUGCCUACUAUAUAACAAACUUUCAGUUACCAUGGUUAUUACAACAUUCCUACUGGGUAGACUCACGGAUCCAUGCGAUUGGUCGAAUGCGCAGAAAGAAAUUACUUUCAAGCUCUUACGUUCAUGAAUAACAAGCAGUGGUGUUUCUAGCUGGUGGCCAAGUGGGCGAAAUUCUGGCGCCACUCGUCAUGCAUGUAGGGGCACAAAAGUGCAAAAAGGAAAAACAUCGCGAUAAAAUAAUGAAAGUUUCAACUUUGCUUCCCUCAUACACAGAGUAAAUGCACGCGAUAGAUUACACUUUUUUUUUAGAUAUAUUUCCUUUUUGUUUUCUAUGAUUUUCGUUUGUUUUAUGUUGUUUUCUUACAGGGACGUACAAGCAUGACAAGAUAAAUGCAUUUGUAAUUAAUUUGUAUUUUCUUUAAUUAUUGUUAUUCUUUUACUCCAGCAAACCUUCCAAAGGCGCCAAACAGAAUAUUCAAGUUAAGGGGGUAGGAUGUCGUGAAUGCUAUGUCGGGCAACGAUGGUAUAUCUUAUUAAAGCUUUGUUAAGACCAAAGAGUUAUACUAAUUGCUAUAAAGACGUUUAUCAGGAUCGAUGCCGUGGUUUUGUAUUUCAAAAUUUAUACAGAUUUCACUCCCAAUUUUAUGUAAGUAUCCAAACUUUCAUACCCAACCAGCUUAGCAAAGAGAAUGAUUGUAUUUUGUUUUAUUUCUUUAUCAUCCUUACAUCUUCUUGCCCCUCUAACCUUAUACCAUGCCGUUUGCAUUGUAAGGCUCUGUGCUCUAUUAUGACAUUUUUUUGCCAUUGCAAAUACAUUUUAAAGAGAAAUUAAUCAUUGAAAAUAUAUAUUAAUAAAAACGAUAAUGUUCUAGAGAAAAUAUAACGAAAAAAAAUAAAUUGAUACAUGGCAUGAAAAUUUUGAAUUUGUGGUGACGCCGUGGUCGUCUGGAAAAUAAAUUUUGUUGUCAUUAUCAUGAAACAGAGCAGUUUAAGCAUUGCAUCACUUGUCAAUAGUCCAUUUUCCUUAUCAUGUUGCAGUAAUUUGAAAGACAUAAGGAUUAUAAGAAAUAUAACAAUUAGUAGCAUAAUUUCUUGAACUAGCAGAACGAUUAAAAAAAGCGCCUUGGGCAAUCUGCUGACUGGAUUUGGCGCAUUACAAAUCCCGUAUAAUAGUAUUAUUAUUAUCAUUGUUCUGUUGUUGUUAUUAUUAGUAGUAGUAGUAGUAGUAUUAUCAUUAUUAGAUAUAGGACCUUAUCAGUGUUUCACGAUUCGAUUUGAAAUUUGGAAGCUGCGGUGAUGAAGGAUGCAUCCAAAACAUUCAUUUCUUAAAAUGAUGAUUAUAUAAGUAGAACUGGCAAUAAGUUUGCUAUUGAAUAUUCUCAUCAUGCAGCUCAACCUUUCCUUCUUAAUGCGACAGUUAGCAUAGUCACAAACGAACCGAUUCCAAACUGAUCGAUGAUCAAUAUGCCAUUGGAAAUUACGUAAUAUCUUUGAUCGGUCUUGAGUCAUUUUCGUUGGUGUUACAGCAGCAUUGCACCUGACAGAGUUCUUCGAUCAUAUCCCGACACCCUACAAUCGGAGCACCGAAUCCCGUGUGGUCUAGUGGUUAGGAUUCGUGGUUUUCACCCACGCGGCCUGGGUUCGAUUCCCGGCACGGGAGGUAGCUCUUUUUAUUAAGUUUAUCAUAUUUUCUAAAAUAACCUAACAAUUUUAACAAUGUUUGUGAAUCUACAUGACUGUAUACCGUUACACAAUUUUUUUUUAAAUUUCUUUUCUUUUUAUGUUGUCGAUGAAAAUUUUAUAUAGAUAUAAUCUUUAAAAAGAAAUCAAUUCGAUUGAAAUUUCAUAUUUUAAUAUUUGUAAGAAGAUUGCUUUUUGCAUUUAACAUUCUUCAGUGAAGUUUCCACGAUAAAACAAGAAAAUCAUUCGAAUCCAUGCGACUGUAACAAUAUAUUUUUUAAAGACUUUAACUGAUUUCUUUUCUCCUCAAACACAGAAUCCCGUGUGGUCUAGUGGUUAGGAUUCGUGGUUUUCACCCACGCGGCUCGGGUUCGAUUCCCGGCACGGGAGGUGGCUAUUUUUCUCAUGUUUUCUACAGUAUCCUUUCUAACAUUUUGACAAGGUUUCCGAAUCUAAAUGACUCUAUACCGUUACACA
RNAcentral lists this transfer RNA (3535 nucleotides) under Lytechinus variegatus (green sea urchin). Its description in RNAcentral is "uncharacterized LOC121429666, transcript variant X2". The stretch from base 2967 to 3038 matches the Rfam family "tRNA". Lineage: Eukaryota; Metazoa; Echinodermata; Echinoidea; Temnopleuroida; Toxopneustidae. The record is from RNAcentral.